UUUUCUACUAUCCCAUUGAAACAAGCUGUCAUUGUCUGGAGCUUUAUGAAAAUUAUCAUUAACCACAAAUUGACUGCUCUAUUCUGCUUAUCCAGUAAACACACUUAACAGCCUCUGACAAGGCUCAUUGCUUGCCUACAUCUAGUGGAAUAACUUCAGUGUGAAAAGAACUGCAUAAAAAUCAAAUUCUUGUCCAUCCUUCUGUCACUGUUCACUGUGAAAAAAGCAGUAAGCAGAUAGAUACAGCUCAGAUUAAUGCAUAAAGUCUCAAAGGCAAAACACUUUUUUAGGCAUCAAGAAAGUUCUGCUAAUUUUUCUGUUCUUCACACCCAGAUGUUAUCCAGGAGGGGACCUUGAAAAGAGCUUUACAUUCUCUGAGCUCCACGGUGAAAAAAUCUGCUAUGGGACCAUGGAUGAAGAAAUACAGAGGCUUGACAUCUCUCUGAAUACCCAAAGCACAAGGGAAAAUGACAGAGUUACGUACUAGAAAACAAAUAUCAGUACGUGCAAGACUUUGUGCAUUAUUUUGCAAGCACACUUGUUUGGAUAAAGAUUAAGAAAGAGUUUGAAGAAAGCUUUGAGAUAAUGGGCUGUGGAAGACAGAAGAGUGAACCAGUCUCCUUCCUUGUUCUUCAGUUCAGACGAUCAUUAGUUUGGACAACUGGAGGAUGGAGAUCCCAGGACUUACUGAAAGAGUAAGUUUGCUGUUUUAUAUGAAUGCAGAAAGCCUGGUAGUCAGUGUCUUUGUACUGAGGCAGAAACAAACAAAAAAAAGAAAUGUUACAGUAGCAUGUAUACACAGGGUUUACAUGGAUAAAAUGUUUGUAAUCUACCUCUGCACUGAUCAGAUGAAGACUUGUAGUCUGUCACAGGAGCCAUUGCCCAGGAUGCCAUUCCUCCUUUGGAGUCACAGAAGGCAGUAAGAGUAAUCAGGUGUUUAGAAACCAUGAUUUGGGAAAGCACUGUUCAGUCUACAGAAAGGAAAAGACAGGGCUUUGAAAUGUUUGGAGGACAACUGCAAAAGAGGAAGUAAUCUUUGUUUUCCAUGUCCAUUGGAAUUAGAAAUGGCUAAUUUAUCUUGGGCAGUAAGAAAAAAUUAUGUUGAGUGAUAGGAGAAUGUACAUAUACAAAACAAAAAGCAGAUCUACCACAUAGCAAAAUAAAUGCAUAAACCAAGAUGUGGAUCAGUUUCUGCUUUGAAAAAUAUUUGACUUAAACAGGGCCUGAGUGCUGCUCAGCUAGGUUUAGCUCAACUAGGUGCUGCUAGCAGGCCACUUGAGGAAAAGCAUGGUGGCAGCCAAGGACCAAUAGCUGAGAGUAAUGGUGUGAUGGAGAGGUUUGGAAUGGUUUGGACCUCAAAAUUGUUCCCGAUUUCUUGAAGGAUCUAAGUCACAGUAGAACUCUAGAGAUAUAUAGAUAUAGAUUUUUCUUACAGCAGUUGAUCUGGCAAUGAAGAGAGUUUGAUUAGAUUUUCUGCAGACAGAGUUGUUGGCAGUCCAUAAGCCUGAUAAUUAAAAUGGAAACACAGUUAAAAUUUGUUUCCUCUAUUGUCAGUUAUUUUCAAUAGAACUUCAUCCAAGUAUACACUGGUAAAAUUGUGUGAGAGUAAGGCAACACAAACCUGUGUCAAGAUCAAUCAACCUCAUGAUUUCUCCUAUCUAAGUCUUAAGGAAUGUUCCUUGAAGAUCUUUAUUUUCUAUAGUGUGUAUUACUAAAAGAAGUCAAUGUUCAGGGAGAAGCAGUAAGAGAGGCUUUUAAUAUACUUCAUUUUCUGCUUUAAAUUGUAAUUCACAUAAGUAUUGAGUAUGUUCCAACCAGAAUGGUGGGAAUGUUGCCUGGUGUUACUAACUAACGUAUUCAGUUCCAUAAGCCCCUCACCACAUAGAAGCUAAUUGCAAGGAUUAGAGUACACCAACACACUUAAGCUCCACUCCUGUGGGUUUGGGGAGAAACAACACAUUUCAACAUUCCAGCUACAGUUCCCCUGGCAACGUACAUAACAACAACUCACUAAAAACUGUGGAUUUCUGUUUUCUUAACCCUUAGAACAUUGACUGAAUGAAUACUUCAUUGAGGAAACAGUUCAGUCAACCAGAUAUAGUCAAAUACUCUUGAAUCCAUCAGUCCUUUUCUCCUUAAAAAAAAAAAACACAAAAGCAGUUGAAUUCCAUGUCAAACUGAUCUCCUCCCCUAGCAUUAAAGUGUUUAACUCAAACAAAUGUGCAUACCAUUAGCAAACCUCACCUAAAGGUCUGCAUGAAAAGACUUAAAAAAAAAUAUAUCAAUAUCUAAGAUCACUAUAAAGUUCCUAGACAUCAAAGGACACACAGAAAAAUACACAAUGAAUUUCACAAAGCACAUAGAUACUCAUAAGAGAUGAAACAAAACAAAAUUAGCAUUUAUGUAUAAAACACAAUAUUUUCCUAUCAGUUAUUAUAACAAUGAUAAUGCCUAUAGCAACUUUACAAUUCCUUUGAGAAUUUCAAAUACUUCAUAAAUAUUAGCUAAUACCUUGCAAUAAUAUAUACACCAUUGUUGUGAAAUACACGAGAUUUGCUCCAGAAUUUGUUCCACUGCCCAAUGAACUAGAAUCUCUUGUGAUGGAAUCACAUCUGCUACUUAGCAGUGGCUGUUCCUAUCACAUAAAGGAGCCACCAGCUAAAUGCAUGUGCAGGAUGUUGGAAGUCACCAGACCUCACCUGAACCUCACAAAGAGCUGCUGUAGAUUUUGGGUUGUCAAUAGCAGGCAGAAUUAAUGAACGCACGUGGCCAUAGUUCUUAGUGGCUGCAAGCACCACUGGUAUUUUAAGAUAAUAGUUUGAUCCCUGGUAUUUUUCUCAGGAGUCUGCAUUUGUGUAAGCAUUUAAGAAUGAUAUCUCCUGGAAAGUUUUAGGCUGUGGUGGGGGAGGUGGUGGCAGUGGUAUAGUAGUUUUCUGAAGAGAGACUACCUUGCUUCCUCAGAAUGCAAGAAUUGACCUGAUGAGGUUCUUAGAGAGCAAGAGAAGACAUCUACCUAUAUCAAACAUAUGACUGUUCCCAGUGCACUAGUGCACACUUACUUACACAAAGGAAGAGUUGAAGGCUGCAAAACUAAAUCACAGAUCAAAAAGAUGUCAGUGCACUUUGAAGCAAUUACCUUUCAUAACCUGGAUUUUCUCCCUUUCCCUCCAUAAGCUUUAUUUUUUUUCUUAAAAGGAGUCGAUGUGAUCUUCCCUUAGAUCUUCCAUCCCAUGAUGAAAACCAUUGCCUCAUUUUGUAGCUUUGAACAGAUACAAGAAAGAUCAAGUCUAAUUCUGAAGAUCAGCAAAUCUGAAAGUGUGGGAGCAGAACAACAACCAAACAAAAAAAAAA
Non-coding RNA from Meleagris gallopavo (turkey), 3351 nucleotides. The record is from RefSeq and is a predicted model, not a curated record. NCBI's taxonomy places the organism in Eukaryota, Metazoa, Chordata, Aves, Galliformes, Phasianidae.